Long non-coding RNA from Fukomys damarensis (Damara mole-rat), 1361 nucleotides. RefSeq lists it as uncharacterized. The transcript is spliced from 3 exons. Lineage: Eukaryota; Metazoa; Chordata; Mammalia; Rodentia; Bathyergidae. The record is from RefSeq and is a predicted model, not a curated record.
CCAUGUACUUAGUAUGGUCAGAUCUAGAAAUGAAGUAACAGCUUCACAUGACUACUCUACCAGGAAGGUCCUAAGAAAGUGUAGCAGAAAUGCCAGCAAAGUACAGCGGAAUGGUGAGGUCAGGGUGACUCACCACAGGGCAAAGGAUAACAGUUUAGAGAAUAAAAGCAUUACUCACUUUCUAUGAAGAGUAUAUUUCUGAUUUCUAUUUCAAAGGGCCAUAAAGUCAGGAUGUACCUCCCACAGGGGAGCUGACUUGAAUGUAUAUGUGCAGUUUCCUCACCAUGAUCUAUGUCACAAAUGCACACCACUGGCUAGAAGGGUAAGUGGAUUCGGCUGAACUCAGCAAGUAUUUCAAGCAGUGGGCCGGGCCUUGGGGACCGGGAGCCCAGUAUGCUCUCUGUCAUGCAGCAGCUGGUCACCAAGAGACAGAACCUGAGAUGGACGAGCUCCUGAAAUGCUGUGCCUAAUCGGGCCUUGGUGCCAUUUACAACAGGGCAAAAUGGGGCAUAGAAAGGGUACCUCCUGGUCAUUCUACCUGCUGGAAAAAGAAAAUGGGAGAAAUGUGGGUGAUUGUGGCAGAGCCCGGUUGCACCUGGAGAACCAUCUCUGACCCUUGCUACAGAGCCUAGAACCCAAGGAGGUUUCUCCGUCGUGACACAGGGUACCCUUGUUUCCCACUGGAGGAACUUAUUUGAAGACGAAACUUCAAAAGUAUUCUCAAAUAGAGCACAAAGAAAUACCAGGAGAAAAGAGACACAAAGCAAGGACAAGUUUGAGAACACCAAGAAAGAGGAAGGAGGAGGAGGAGGGAGUGGGAGAGGACAAGGAAGAGGCAGAGCAAGUGUGGAAUCUGAAGAUACUCCCCAAAAUAGAAGGCAAGGGCGCCUCUGGGAGUCUGAGCAUGGAAAGUGUGACAGCAUCUCCUGCCAAAGUACCCAGAAGAGUCAAGAUCAAAGGGACAGAGCCUUUUGAAAUCACUUUCAUGAUGAACGCUCAGGUGACAAAAAUCCAACAAAGAAAAUGUUUGCUGAGGAAUAUUUCUCAAAGUGAGAACAGAUGUCACAGUGCACUAGUUAUCUGAUGGUGUGCAAAUGAAGGAUGUUGUGUCCCCUUUCCCUAUUUUUUUUUUUUGUCUUUGCUCUUACUGGAAAACUGGGACCUAUUAUCUUUAAAAUAUUAACUAUUUAUUUCACCCAAGUUUCACAAGGAAACACUACGUGAGAGGAAGCCCUUGUCUUUCAAAAUCACAGACCACCCAUUUAGUGCAUGGCACUGUGACCCUAAAACCAACCUCUAGUGAAGAGUGUUUGUGGAGCUCAGCCCUUGGAGGGUUCAGCCUGGACCAGCCCCUCCUCGGC